Molecule: non-coding RNA, 902 nt
Organism: Cinara cedri
Lineage: Eukaryota; Metazoa; Arthropoda; Insecta; Hemiptera; Aphididae
Source: the annotation of a GenBank genome assembly
CGGCGUCGCGGUCCGCUCCGUACAGCGUUUACGGUACGUCAGCUGCGGGAACGCCGGGCGGAAUGCGAUACCGCCGACACCGUGUAGCGCGCGCACGACGGUGUCGUAGUCGGAUGGACAGAAACCUCUGACCGAAACUGCGUUUUAUCGCAUCCGGGAUGUCGGUUUUGAUAAAAUCGUCGGGACCGAAGUCGCGGGCCGGUCGAUUUGAAACGACAAAGGCCUGUAGUCUGUACAUUUCUCGCCCGUUAUUAAAAUAUUCUAAUCUUUUUCUAUAUACUCGCCGCCAAAACGCACGCAUUUAAACCGAUAUUCGUGUAUCAGUGUAUCACUCGCGGCGGAUAUCCUCCGGACAGAGGACGAUUGGAGGGCCGUUUCCUUCUCUUUCUCCUGCCCCCCCCCACCCUCACCAAUUGAUAGUGUCGUCGUCACUUUAUAUUACGGUACCCUUUUUAGUGAUUUUCGGCGGGAGAGGAGUUAAUGGACGAUUUUUUUUUUUUCAAUUAAAACCGCCAAAACGUACAUGAUAUUGGCAGUGCAGUGUAUAGAGAAGUCAAUUUCCUACAAGGAUAUAAUAAUGGGAAUGGGGACGAACGAAAAAGGUUCAGUUUAAUAUUUCCGAAUUAUAAGUAGGUUGCACGCCUAUUAAUUAACCGUACGGUAUUCGAUUUUUUUAUCAUUUUAUUAUUUUUUUUUUUUUUAUUUAUUUAAUGUUUUUAAUUACCUAUCGAUUAAUUUCACACUCGUUAAUGGUUCACCGACAAAAACGAAUUCGUUCAAUUAUAAUACUAUCGUCGAGUGUACAAUAUGAUUAUCACAUUAUGUACUAUUCAUAUAUAUAUAAUUUUUUUUUUCAUAAAUAUAAUUGCGGUAAACUGUCGGAACGCGUAAUAAUUAGCAUU